GACAGAGGGUGCAAACGUUGUUCGGAAUUACUGGGCGUAAAGCGUGUGUAGGCGGUCUGACAAGUCGGAUGUGAAAGCCCCGGGCUCAACCCGGGAAGUGCACUCGAUACUGUCAGACUUGAGUAUCGGAGAGGUUGGUAGAAUUCUCGGUGUAGAGGUGAAAUUCGUAGAUAUCGAGAGGAAUACCGGCGGCGAAGGCGGCCAACUGGACGAAUACUGACGCUGAGACACGAAAGCGUGGGGAGCAAACAGG
This 253-nucleotide ribosomal RNA is filed under the name uncultured bacterium. Its description in RNAcentral is "partial 16S ribosomal RNA". It matches the Rfam family "Bacterial small subunit ribosomal RNA", at positions 524 to 776 of the family's 1533-position model. The record is from RNAcentral.